RNAcentral lists this ribosomal RNA (459 nucleotides) under uncultured Scutellospora. RNAcentral describes it as "SSU rRNA". It matches the Rfam family "Eukaryotic small subunit ribosomal RNA", at positions 623 to 1085 of the family's 1831-position model. The record is from RNAcentral. Lineage: Eukaryota; Fungi; Glomeromycota; Glomeromycetes; Diversisporales; Gigasporaceae.
AAAGCUCGUAGUUGAAUUUCGGGGUUCUACCGUCGGUCGGGCUAACAAGUCUGUACUGGUGUGUAGAACUUCUACCUUCUGGGGAACUAUCAUGUUAUUAAUUUAGUGUGGUAGGAAACCAGGACCUUUACCUUGAAAAAAUUAGAGUGUUCAAAGCAGGCUUAAGUCUGAAUACAUUAGCAUGGAAUAAUAGAAUAGGACGGUGGUCCUGUUUUGUUGGUUUCUGAAUCACCGUAAUGAUUAAUAGGGAUAGUUGGGGGCAUUAGUAUUCAAUUGUCAGAGGUGAAAUUCUUGGAUUUAUUGAAGACUAACUUCUGCGAAAGCAUUUGCCAAGGAUGUUUUCAUUAAUCAAGAACGAAAGUUAGGGGAUCGAAGACGAUCAGAUACCGUCGUAGUCUUAACCAUAAACUAUGCCGACUAGGGAUCGGACGAUGUUAAAUUUUAUUGACUCGUUCGGCA